CAGAGAGCACUGCACACUGAUGUCCUCUGCAGAGCAAGAGAAGCUGGGACAGCAGCCACUUUCCCAUGAUGCUCUGCGCUGAUGCUUCAUCUCUGCCCUGGGAGGCCCCCUUCUCAGGAUGAGAGGAUAAUUCAUCUGCUAUAGCCCAUUCAAUCUUCAGCCUCU
This 165-nucleotide small RNA is filed under the name Castor canadensis (American beaver). Its description in RNAcentral is "TUC338 (ENSCCNG00000007077.1)". Lineage: Eukaryota; Metazoa; Chordata; Mammalia; Rodentia; Castoridae. The record is from RNAcentral.